GACGAACGCUGGCGGCGUGCUUAACACAUGCAAGUCGAACGGUGAAAGCGGAGCUUGCUCCGCUGGAUCAGUGGCGAACGGGUGAGUAACACGUGGGCAACCUGCCCCUCACUUCGGGAUAACCCCGGGAAACCGGGGCUAAUACCGGAUAUGACCUCCUUGGGCAUCCUUGGAGGUGGAAAGUUUUUCGGUGGGGGAUGGGCCCGCGGCCGAUCAGCUUGUUGGUGAGGUAGUGGCUCACCAAGGCGACGACGGGUAGCCGGCUCUGAGAGGGCGACCGGCCACACUGGGACUGAGACACGGCCCAGACUCCUACGGGAGGCAGCAGUGGGAAUAUUGCGCAAUGGGCGAAAGCCUGACGCAGCAACGCCGCGUGCGGGAUGACGGCCUUCGGGUUGUAAACCGCUUUCAGCAGGGAAGAAGCCGCAAGGUGACGGUACCUGCAGAAGAAGCACCGGCUAACUACGUGCCAGCCGCCGCAGUAA
RNAcentral lists this ribosomal RNA (485 nucleotides) under uncultured bacterium. Its description in RNAcentral is "partial 16S ribosomal RNA". It matches the Rfam family "Bacterial small subunit ribosomal RNA", at positions 28 to 523 of the family's 1533-position model. The record is from RNAcentral.